Non-coding RNA from Gossypium raimondii (Peruvian cotton), 109 nucleotides. NCBI's taxonomy places the organism in Eukaryota, Viridiplantae, Streptophyta, Magnoliopsida, Malvales, Malvaceae. The record is from Rfam.
AAUAGGAGAAUGACAAAUUAGAUUUUUCUUUCUAAUAUUCAGCUUUUUCUCCAUCUAACUUAAAAUGCUAAAAAUUAAGAGGAAAAAUCUGAUUUGUCAUUCUUCUAUU